This 1049-nucleotide ribosomal RNA is filed under the name Labidostomis lucida. RNAcentral describes it as "16S ribosomal RNA". The stretch from base 623 to 1049 matches the Rfam family "Bacterial large subunit ribosomal RNA", at positions 2048 to 2697 of the family's 2925-position model. Lineage: Eukaryota; Metazoa; Arthropoda; Insecta; Coleoptera; Chrysomelidae. The record is from RNAcentral.
CCCGAAUCUUGAAGAGUUAUUAGUCUAUUUUUUUAAUGUGUCAUAAUUAUUGUUAAUUGACUAAUAGGAGCGAAACGUUAUUCGCUUUAGGAUAUAUCUGGUUCUUUAAGAAAUGGAUUUAAUCUAGCUUAAGCAAUAACAGUUGUUUAAUUUAUAAUUUUCUGAUUUGUUUAGGUAAGCUAUUUGGGGAUAAGCUCUAGUAGUAAUUUUUAUUUAAUUGAAGGUUUGUCAAAUGCAUAGGAAUAGAAAUUUUCAUUGUUGAUAGUUUGUUAUAAUUAAUUUGGCUUAAAAUAUGAUUUUUAUAUUUAAUAAAUAGUUUAUUAAGGUGUUAAAUUUAACGUUUUAAUUUAAGAAAUAAUGAUAGAAUUAGUAUAUUUGUUUGUAAAUUUAUUAAUGUUUGUUGGAAGUAUAAAAGGAAUUCGGCAAAUACAUUCUUCACCUGUUUAUUAAAAACAUGUCCUUUUGAUUAUUAUUUAAGGUCGGGCCUGCCCAAUGAGGAUUUAAAUGGCCGCAGUAAUUUGACUGUGCUAAGGUAGCAUAAUCAUUAGUUUCUUAAUUAGAAACUGGAAUGAAAGGUUUGAUGAGGGAAUAGCUGUCUCUAAUGUUUGAAUAGAAUUUUAUUUUUAAGUAAAAAAGCUUAAAUUUUGUUGAAAGACGAGAAGACCCUAUAGAGUUUAAUAUAUCAAUUUUGUUGCACACUUUUGUAAGUUAACUGGGGCAAUAAUUUUAUUUAUUUGGUUGGGGUGACUGUAAAAUUAACUGAACUUUUACGUGCAUACUAUUCACUGAUGUGUGUCUUGAUGAUCCAAUAAUUUUGAUUAAAAGAAUCAAUUACCUUAGGGAUAACAGCGUAAUCUUUUUUUAGAGUUCUAAUCGAUGAGAGGGAUUGCGACCUCGAUGUUGGAUUAAAAUUUACUUAGGGUGCAAUAGCUUUUAAGUUGGGUCUGUUCGACCUUUAAAAUUUUACAUGAUCUGAGUUUAAACCGGCGUGAGCCAGGUUGGUUUCUAUCUUCAAUUGUUUUCGGGACCCUAGUACGAAAGGGCCGGGU